AUUGAACGCUGGCGGCAUGCCUUACACAUGCAAGUCGAACGGCAGCACGGGAGCAAUCCUGGUGGCGAGUGGCGAACGGGUGAGUAAUGUAUCGGAACGUACCUUUCAGUGGGGGAUAACGUAGCAAAAGUUACGCUAAUACCGCAUAUUCUGUGAGCAGGAAAGCAGGGGAUCGCAAGACCUUGCGCUGAUUGAGCGGCCGAUAUCAGAUUAGCUAGUUGGUGAGGUAAAGGCUCACCAAGGCGACGAUCUGUAGCGGGUCUGAGAGGAUGAUCCGCCACACUGGAACUGAGACACGGUCCAGACUCCUACGGGAGGCAGCAGUGGGGAAUUUUGGACAAUGGGCGCAAGCCUGAUCCAGCCAUGCCGCGUGAGUGAAGAAGGCCUCGGUUGUAAG
Molecule: ribosomal RNA, 397 nt
Filed under: uncultured bacterium
Lineage: Bacteria
Description: bacterial SSU rRNA
Rfam family: Bacterial small subunit ribosomal RNA
Source: RNAcentral